CACGUAGGGCGCGAGCGUUGUCCGGAAUUAUUGGGCGUAAAGAGCUCGUAGGCGGCCUGUUGCGUCCGCUGUGAAAGCCCGGGGCUUAACCCCGGGUCUGCAGUGGAUACGGGCAGGCUAGAGGUAGGUAGGGGAGAAUGGAAUUCCCGGUGUAGCGGUGAAAUGUGCAGAUAUCGGGAGGAACACCGGUGGCGAAGGCGGUUCUCUGGGCCUUACCUGACGCUGAGGAGCGAAAGCGUGGGGAGCGAACAGG
This 253-nucleotide ribosomal RNA is filed under the name uncultured bacterium. RNAcentral describes it as "partial 16S ribosomal RNA". It matches the Rfam family "Bacterial small subunit ribosomal RNA", at positions 524 to 776 of the family's 1533-position model. The record is from RNAcentral.